CUCGGGCUCUCUUGCCCGGCCUCUUGGCGGAGGACGCGCACCUCUCCUCCGCCAGACAUUGCGGAGGGCUGUUCGGAGGGGAUGAAGAGCCCCUGAACGCGGCCCCGCCCCUCCGCAGCAGCACGAGCGGCUUCAGCGGUCCCAUCCGCUUCUUGAUUGGUCGUUAUGGUUUACAGACACGCCCCCUCCUACUGUGUAGACUGCCGCACAUUGACGCAAACCCCUCCCGUUUCUAUUGUUGACUGGUUUUCAUUUCCAACCUGCAUCAAGCAUCACAGGAACCAUGUUGCAGUCUGGGGACACUGAAGCCCUAGGUUGUUCUUGUUCGAGUAUGCUAAGUAGGAAAUAUCCAGUGCCAGAGGGAGGCAGACGACAAUGUUCAUUCAGCAUUGACCGGUGAUGCCACCUGUCGAUAAUCCGGCAGCAGCUGAGAUGUAGCCUGCUGCACAUGAAUCAGCACUAAGAGGGCUAUUCUUGGGUACUACAAGAGAUUACUGUACCUCGUCAAAUAUUUAUCACCGAACCACAAUUAAGAGUAUCAAGACUGAGGUGCACGGAGGAAUAAAAUGAUCAAAUGCAUAAAAGAAAUAGGUCUAAACGUCCCUCUGCCUGAUCUUCAAAGUUGGUUUGAAAGAAAUUAAAGCACAGCUGGUCCAACUACGAACGCAGACGUCACGUCCCAGGUGAUAUUUCUGGGAAUCUGAGUGGUGUCAAAAGGAGUUUUCAGACUAUCACAGACACAUUUCUUCUCAUUUGAUUCUGAUAUUUAUUUGAUCUCGACUAUAAAAGUGUAACGUUUUAAUCUGACAUUACACGGACAAAACAUUAAAUUGAUGGCUUAAAAUCACUGAACAUGUCUACAUGCAGUUUUAAUGCGGGCCAUCUUAGACAAAGCCCUGUGUGACUUUGUAUGUUAACUGAUUGUUACAGCGCGUUGAUUUACUGUAUUUCAGACGCAGGUAUGAUUUGGUGAAUGACGUACCGGCUAUGUACAUGUGCUAACAAAGAUAAAUAUCAAUAUACCACGCCCAUAUAAAAACACCAAUAGCGCCUCCUUGUGGCCAGGGAGACCAGG
This is a long non-coding RNA of Micropterus salmoides (largemouth bass), 1075 nucleotides long. RefSeq lists it as uncharacterized. The record is from RefSeq and is a predicted model, not a curated record. Lineage: Eukaryota; Metazoa; Chordata; Actinopteri; Centrarchiformes; Centrarchidae. The transcript is spliced from 3 exons.